UAGGGAAUCUUCGGCAAUGGACGAAAGUCUGACCGAGCAACGCCGCGUGAGUGAAGAAGGUUUUCGGAUCGUAAAACUCUGUUGUUAGAGAAGAACAAGGACGUUAGUAACUGAACGUCCCCUGACGGUAUCUAACCAGAAAGCCACGGCUAACUACGUGCCAGCAGCCGCGGUAAUACGUAGGUGGCAAGCGUUGUCCGGAUUUAUUGGGCGUAAAGCGAGCGCAGGCGGUUUCUUAAGUCUGAUGUGAAAGCCCCCGGCUCAACCGGGGAGGGUCAUUGGAAACUGGGAGACUUGGGUGCAGAAGAGGAGAGUGGAAUUCCGUGUGUAGCGGUGAAAUGCGUAGAUAUAUGGAGGAACACCAGUGGCGAAGGCGGCUCUCUGGUCUGUAACUGGCGCUGAGGCUCGAAAGCGUGGGGAGCAAACAGG
Molecule: ribosomal RNA, 429 nt
Filed under: Gemmatimonadota bacterium
Lineage: Bacteria; Pseudomonadati; Gemmatimonadota
Description: Gemmatimonadetes bacterium partial 16S ribosomal RNA
Rfam family: Bacterial small subunit ribosomal RNA
Source: RNAcentral